GGACUUACCUGGCAGGGGAGAUACCAUGAUCAUGAAGGUGGUUUUCCCAGGGCGAGGCUUAUCCAUUGCACUCUGGAUGUGCUGACCCCUGCAAUUUUCCCAAAUGCGGGAAACUCGACUGCAUAAUUUGUGGUAGUGGGGGACUGAGUUCGUGCUCCCCCCCC
Rattus norvegicus (Norway rat) is the source of this 164-nucleotide small nuclear RNA. Ensembl annotates it as U1 spliceosomal RNA. Lineage: Eukaryota; Metazoa; Chordata; Mammalia; Rodentia; Muridae. The record is from Ensembl.